UUAAAUUGAAGAGUUUGAUCAUGGCUCAGAUUGAACGCUGGCGGCAGGCCUAACACAUGCAAGUCGAACGGUAACAGGAAGCAGCUUGCUGCUUUGCUGACGAGUGGCGGACGGGUGAGUAAUGUCUGGGAAACUGCCUGAUGGAGGGGGAUAACUACUGGAAACGGUGGCUAAUACCGCAUAAUGUCGCAAGACCAAAGAGGGGGACCUUCGGGCCUCUUGCCAUCAGAUGUGCCCAGAUGGGAUUAGCUUGUUGGUGAGGUAACGGCUCACCAAGGCGACGAUCCCUAGCUGGUCUGAGAGGAUGACCAGCCACACUGGAACUGAGACACGGUCCAGACUCCUACGGGAGGCAGCAGUGGGGAAUAUUGCACAAUGGGCGCAAGCCUGAUGCAGCCAUGCCGCGUGUAUGAAGAAGGCCUUCGGGUUGUAAAGUACUUUCAGCGGGGAGGAAGGUGUUGUGGUUAAUAACCGCAGCAAUUGACGUUACCCGCAGAAGAAGCACCGGCUAACUCCGUGCCAGCAGCCGCGGUAAUACGGAGGGUGCAAGCGUUAAUCGGAAUUACUGGGCGUAAAGCGCACGCAGGCGGUCUGUCAAGUCGGAUGUGAAAUCCCCGGGCUCAACCUGGGAACUGCAUUCGAAACUGGCAGGCUUGAGUCUUGUAGAGGGGGGUAGAAUUCCAGGUGUAGCGGUGAAAUGCGUAGAGAUCUGGAGGAAUACCGGUGGCGAAGGCGGCCCCCUGGACAAAGACUGACGCUCAGGUGCGAAAGCGUGGGGAGCAAACAGGAUUAGAUACCCUGGUAGUCCACGCCGUAAACGAUGUCUACUUGGAGGUUGUGCCCUUGAGGCGUGGCUUCCGGAGCUAACGCGUUAAGUAGACCGCCUGGGGAGUACGGCCGCAAGGUUAAAACUCAAAUGAAUUGACGGGGGCCCGCACAAGCGGUGGAGCAUGUGGUUUAAUUCGAUGCAACGCGAAGAACCUUACCUGGUCUUGACAUCCACAGAACUUUCCAGAGAUGGAUUGGUGCCUUCGGGAACCGUGAGACAGGUGCUGCAUGGCUGUCGUCAGCUCGUGUUGUGAAAUGUUGGGUUAAGUCCCGCAACGAGCGCAACCCUUAUCCUUUGUUGCCAGCGGUCCGGCCGGGAACUCAAAGGAGACUGCCAGUGAUAAACUGGAGGAAGGUGGGGAUGACGUCAAGUCAUCAUGGCCCUUACGACCAGGGCUACACACGUGCUACAAUGGCGCAUACAAAGAGAAGCGACCUCGCGAGAGCAAGCGGACCUCAUAAAGUGCGUCGUAGUCCGGAUUGGAGUCUGCAACUCGACUCCAUGAAGUCGGAAUCGCUAGUAAUCGUGGAUCAGAAUGCCACGGUGAAUACGUUCCCGGGCCUUGUACACACCGCCCGUCACACCAUGGGAGUGGGUUGCAAAAGAAGUAGGUAGCUUAACCUUCGGGAGGGCGCUUACCACUUUGUGAUUCAUGACUGGGGUGAAGUCGUAACAAGGUAACCGUAGGGGAACCUGCGGUUGGAUCACCUCCUUACCU
Molecule: ribosomal RNA, 1547 nt
Filed under: Salmonella enterica subsp. enterica serovar Rubislaw
Lineage: Bacteria; Pseudomonadati; Pseudomonadota; Gammaproteobacteria; Enterobacterales; Enterobacteriaceae
Description: bacterial SSU rRNA
Rfam family: Bacterial small subunit ribosomal RNA
Source: RNAcentral